GAGUGAGAAUGAGAGAGAUGAAGAGUUUGAGAUGGGAGGAUGGGAGGGAGGAGUAAUAAAAGUGAAAACAAAAACUUGAAAGUGAAAACAAUUUCAAAUAAAAUUUUGUUUUUAGAUUUUGUUUUCACUUUUGUUACUCCUCCCUCCUAUCAUUCCCUCUCAAUCUCAUCUUCACUCU
Molecule: small nucleolar RNA, 178 nt
Filed under: Prunus dulcis (almond)
Lineage: Eukaryota; Viridiplantae; Streptophyta; Magnoliopsida; Rosales; Rosaceae
Description: sRNA ncRNA
Source: RNAcentral